GCAAUGCACUCCAGUAUUCUUGCCUGGGAAAUCCCAUAGACAGAGGAGCCUGGUAGGCUACAGACCAUGGGUUUGCAGAGUCGGAACUCUGCAAACUCUUUGCACAACUUUGCACAACUGAGUGACUAAACAAAAAUAGAACCAAGUCACUAUGAGAACACAUUCAGCUGAUAAACACAACUCAUCUCAGUGAACAUGCUUUUGUAAGCCAACUGAUCAUCAUUAGCCUUUUGCUUAUAAAAGUCAGCUAAUCAGGGAUAAACUCAAUCCAAAAAUUAUGCCUUAGAGUACCAACCAAUCAACAAUAGUCACUUGCGUAACCAAGCUUUUAAGGAUCAUGCCACCCCUUCUAUGUCUCUCAAAGCCCACCCAUCCUGAAUGCCAUGCUUUCCAAAGACUCUAUGACUCCUGCAGUUAGGUUUGCUCAGAUUCUGCCUGAUCAGUGUAGUUCUCCAUUACUAUGGUAAGAAGUAAAUUCAGCUUUGUCUUUGUAUUUCAGAUGGCAAUGGAAGUCUCAUUAUCCCUUGGCAAUUCUGGAAUUUCCACUAAGAUUGUUUUAAAAGCUGAUUUUGCAUUAUUCCAGAAGACAGCUGAGUUCUCAGAAAGUAUUCUGCCUUUAAUUUAUUGUGCUGUGUUGUUUUGUUGAAGAACAGGAAGAAAAUCCAGCCUGGCAUAGGGAGGUAGUUGGAAAAAGAAACAGUGCUUUUAUAGCCUCUUCAAAUAAUUGUGGAUAUUCUUCUUUUAUGUAACACCAAAACUUGACAAGCAAUAGUUUCUUAAAGAUUCAUUGCAAUGUGGAAUCUGAAAUCAGGUGAACUUUUUAUAUUCUGUUACAUUAAAGUACAUUAGUGUAUCUUGAAUUUUGAAUGGAUCUUUUAAUCAUGCAUGAUUUUGUAUCAGUUUGCAUUGGUCAUUUGAAAAAUAUUGAGUCAUUGAGUAAUUUGGAUCUUUCAAAUGUUUACACAUUUCAGCAUGCAUGUGUUCACUACUAAUCUCAUCAGAAAGUUCUUUCUAUUGGUAUAUACUUACUGGAAUUUCUGAGUCACAGGAAAUAAGAACAUAAGGCAAUGACAACUUGCUUUCCCAAGUACUGUUCCUAAUUCAUAAUUCCACAAGCAAUUUUAUAGGAGAGCUCAAUAUUUUUUUCCUAGAACUUGAUACUUUUGAACACUGGUGUAAAAGAGUAUCUUGCUGUGGUCUUGAUCUGCCUUUUUCUGAUAAUGAAUUUGAGUAACUUUUCAUAUUUAUUCUUUUAUGUGAAAUAAAUGUCAUAUUUUUCAUUCCUCCCUUUUUUCCCAACAGCUUUAUUGAGAUAAUUUCCAUUCCUUACAAUUUACCCAUUUGAAGUGUACAAUUCAGUGGCUUUAGUAUAGUCACAGAUUGUGCAACCAUUACCAAAA
Long non-coding RNA from Bubalus bubalis (water buffalo), 1400 nucleotides. RefSeq lists it as uncharacterized. The transcript has 2 exons. The record is from RefSeq and is a predicted model, not a curated record. Lineage: Eukaryota; Metazoa; Chordata; Mammalia; Artiodactyla; Bovidae.